GUGCAGCAGGCGAGAAUCCUCCGCAAUGCUCGAAAGAGCGACGGGGGACUCCAAGUGCCUACGCUUUGCGUAGGCUUUUCCCAAGCCUAAAAAGCUUGGGGAAUAAGGGCUGGGUAAGACGGGUGCCAGCCGCCGCGGUAAUACCCGCAGCCCGAGUGGUGGCCGCUUUUAUUGGGCCUAAAGCGUCCGUAGCCGGUCUGGUAAAUGCCUGGGUAAAUCGUCUGGCUCAACCAGACGAAUUCCGGGUAGACUGCCAGACUAGGGACCGGAGGAAGGAGAGGGUACUCCGGGGGUAGGGGUGAGAUCCUGUAAUCCUCGGAGGACCACCGGUGGCGAAGGCGCUCUCCUAGGACGGGUCCGACGGUGAGGGACGAAAGCCAGGGGAGCAAACCGGAUUAGAUACCCCCGUAGU
Molecule: ribosomal RNA, 412 nt
Filed under: uncultured microorganism
Description: bacterial SSU rRNA
Rfam family: Archaeal small subunit ribosomal RNA
Source: RNAcentral